GGUCCAAUGGUGUAGAGGUUAACAUGCACAAUAGCUUGUAUAAUUGAUACAUUGCAUGCGUGCGCGCCAGGUUCAAGUCCUGGUCAGACCA
Molecule: non-coding RNA, 91 nt
Organism: Rhodocollybia butyracea
Lineage: Eukaryota; Fungi; Basidiomycota; Agaricomycetes; Agaricales; Omphalotaceae
Source: the annotation of a GenBank genome assembly